GGAAAUUCCCAUCUGACCAAAACAGACCCUUACUGUGAGCUGCCCAGGAGGAGACACAUCAUCAAUGAACAAUUGAGGGACGGCAACUGAUUUCAGAGUGCGACAUGGGUCCAUGUGGAGUGAGCAUGGAGAGAAAUCCAGUCCAAACUUCUCUCAUGCUGCUGGUGUACUGGUAGGAAAAUGGACAAAAACAUAAUGAACUGUAAGGACCUGAGCCCAAGGACCAUGCCUCAGGACUACAUGGCAUGAUGACUCCUUGCUGUCCCCAGUCCACCUGGCCGUGCUACUGCUCCAGUUUCAACUGUUCUGCCUGCGGCUAUGGAACCCUGACCUGUUCACUGGACGUGCUACCUGUCCCAGACCUGCUGUUUUCAACUCUCUAGAGACAGCAGGAGCGGUAGAGAUACUCUCAAUGAUCGGCUAUGAAAAGCCAACUGACAUUUACUCUUGAGGUGCUGACUUGUUGCACCCUCGACAACUACUGUGAUUAUUAUUAUUUGACCAUGCUGGUCAUUUAUGAACAUUUGAACAUCUUGGCCAUGUUCUGUUAUAAUCUCCACCUGGCACAGCCAGAAGAGGACUGGCCACCCCUCAUAGCCUGGUUCCUCUCUAGGUUUUGGCCUGUCUAAGGAGUUUUUCCUAGCCACUGUGCUUCUACACCUGCAUUGCUUGCUGUUUGGGGUUUUAGGCUGGGUUUCUGUACAGCACUUUGAGAUAUCAGCUGAUGUAAGAAGGGCUAUAUAAAUACAUUAGAUUUGAUUUGAUUUGAAAUAGCAUAGCCUAAAUAAUAAAUGUGCCUUCCUUCUUAGGCUCCCUGACUGGCUCCUGACCUAUUUAGAGUGUUUAUAUGCUGUUUCAUAUGACAUGUAGCCUAUCUGAAAUUAUGUUCGCAUCUUAAAUUCAC
RNAcentral lists this long non-coding RNA (904 nucleotides) under Salmo salar (Atlantic salmon). RNAcentral describes it as "lncRNA (ENSSSAG00000120065.1)". Lineage: Eukaryota; Metazoa; Chordata; Actinopteri; Salmoniformes; Salmonidae. The record is from RNAcentral.